GAGACUGCGUCUGCCCCACGAGCACAGAGCCUCGCCUUUGCCCCUCUGCCGCCCAUCCACACACGCUGCCAGCUCAUCAUGGAUGAUGAUAUCACUGCGCUCUUCGUUGACAAUGGCUCCGCCAUGUGCAAGGCCGGCUUUGCGGGCGACGAUGCCCCUGGGCCAUCUUCCCCUCCAUUGUGGGGUGCCCCAGGCACCAGGGCGUGAUGGUGGGCAUGGGUCAGAAGGAUUCCUAUGUGGGCGACGAGGCCCAGAGCAAGAGAGGCAUCCUCACCCUGAAGUACCCUAUUGAGCAUGGCAUCGUCACCAACUGGGACGACAUGGAGAAGAUCUGGCACCACACCUUCUACAAUGAGCUGCGUGUGGCUCCCAAGGAGCAACCCCUGCUGCUGUCUGAGGCCCCCCUGAACCCCAAGGCCAACCGUGAGAAGAUGACCCAGAUCACGUUUGAGACCUUCAACACCCCAGCCAUGUACGUGGCCAUCCAGGCUGUGCUGUCCCUGUAGGCCUGUGGCUGUACCACUGGCAUCGUGAUGAACUCCAGUGAUGGGGUCACCCACACUGUGCCCAUCUAUGAGGGGUAUGCCCUCCCCCAUGCCAUCCUGCGUCUGGACCUGGCUGGCUGGGACCUGGCUGACUACCUCAUGAAGAUCCUCACUGAGUGCCUCUACAGCUUCACCACCAUGGCCUAGCAGGAAAUCAUGCGUGACAUCAAGGAGAAGCUGUGCUACGUCGCCCUGGACUUUGAGCAGGAGAUGGCUAGGGCGGCUUCCAGCUCCUCCCUGGAGAAGAGCUAGGAGCUGUCUGACGGCCAGGUCAUCACCAUUGGCAACGAGCUGUUCCGCUGCCCCAGGCGCUCUUCCAGCCUUUCAUCCUGGGCAUGGAGUCCUGUGGCAUCCACGAAACUACCUUCAACUGCAUCAUGAAGUGUGACGUGGACAUCCGCAAAGACCUGUAAGCCAAUACAGUGCUGUCUGGCGGCACCACCAUGUACCCUGGCAUUGCCGACAGGAUGCAGAAGGAGAUUACCGCCCUGGCGCUCAGCACGAUGAAGAUCAAGAUCAUUGCGCCUCCUGAGCGCAAGUACUCUGUGUGGAUCAGAGGCUCCAUCCUGGCCUCGCUGUCCACCUUCCAGCAGAUGUGGAUCAGCAAGCAGGAGUAUGAUGAGUCCGGCCCCUCCAUCGUUCACCACAAAUGCUUCUAGGCGGACUGU
This is an RNA transcript of Nomascus leucogenys (northern white-cheeked gibbon), 1213 nucleotides long. It is a transcript of the gene named actin, cytoplasmic 1-like, with no coding region annotated. The transcript has a single exon. The record is from RefSeq and is a predicted model, not a curated record. Lineage: Eukaryota; Metazoa; Chordata; Mammalia; Primates; Hylobatidae.